AUUUAUUUUUCUUAAAAAGAAAGUAAUACGUGAGAAAUGUACUCUAAUAUAUGAGUAUUAUUUUUGUUUCUUUAAGUAAUCUCAAAAUACACUUUAUGUAAAUCGAAGGUAAGCCCAUAAAUAAUAUGCUUCACUUAUAUCAAACAAUCAUCAAGUAAUUUUGCUCAAAGAAUUUUCAAAUAUAAAACAUUUCCAUUUCACAUAAGUGUCUUACAAUUUUUCAAUAUGAAAUAAUAAAAGAUAUAAAUUCCUACAAAAGACUCUAACCCACAAACGAUCACGAGCUGGUCAAACACUAAAGAUGCAUGUCAUCUAGAGAGUACCCCAAUGACGUCAUCAAUACAUAUCAAAGAGAUCUUUCUCUUCGGAAUCCAAAAAUAAAACUAGACCACCAAUCAGAUACCUAACGUUCUUUAUUUUAAUGUCUCUCACAAUGCCAUUUUCCUUUCCUCAAUGAACUUCAACUAGAGGUCUUAGUAUCCUGCACUAACUGUUGUAAGGGGUGAAUCACUCGUACACAAGUUACCAUCGUGAUGAUGUCACA
Molecule: long non-coding RNA, 544 nt
Filed under: Trifolium pratense (red clover)
Lineage: Eukaryota; Viridiplantae; Streptophyta; Magnoliopsida; Fabales; Fabaceae
Description: long non-coding RNA (TPRA_LNC010030)
Source: RNAcentral